GAUUGUAGAUGAAGAGGAGAAAAUGGAAGAGAAAAUUCAAGAACCGAAGAAAAGAGUAGCAAUUGAUCAGGACAAGCUUGUGGAUGAGAACUCAAUGGAAUGUUUUUUAGAGUUCCUUAUUGAAUUCUUCAAUUAACAAUGUGAAGAAAUCCAUUUAUUCAU
Molecule: non-coding RNA, 162 nt
Organism: Caenorhabditis elegans
Lineage: Eukaryota; Metazoa; Nematoda; Chromadorea; Rhabditida; Rhabditidae
Source: Ensembl